AACGAACGCUGGCGGCGCGCUUAACACAUGCAAGUCGAACGAGAAGGCGUAGCAAUACGCUUGUACAGUGGCGAACGGGUGAGUAACACGUGGGUGACCUACCCUCGAGUGGGGAAUAACCCGCCGAAAGGCGGGCUAAUGCCGCGUACGCUUCCAGGUUUGCGGAUCUGGAAGGAAAGCCAUGCUGUGGGCAUGGCGCUCAAGGAUGGGCUCACGUCCUAUCAGCUUGUUGGUAGGGUAACGGCCUACCAAGGCAACGACGGGUAGCUGGUCUGAGAGGACGAUCAGCCACACUGGGACUGCGACACGGGCCAGACGCCUACGGGAGGCAGCAGUGAGGAAUAUUGCGCAAUGGGCGAAAGCCUGACGCAGCGACGCCGCGUGGGGGAUGAAGGUCUUCGGAUUGUAAACCCCUUUCGGGAGGGAAGAUGGGACGGGCAACCGUUCGGACGGUACCUCCAGAAGCAGCCACGGCUAACUUCGUGCCAGCAGCCGCGGUAA
Molecule: ribosomal RNA, 501 nt
Filed under: uncultured bacterium
Lineage: Bacteria
Description: partial 16S ribosomal RNA
Rfam family: Bacterial small subunit ribosomal RNA
Source: RNAcentral